UUAUCCUACAGUGUUAGUUAUCCAACAGUGUUAGUUAUCCAACAGUGUUAGUUAUCCUACAGUGUUAGUUAUCCUACAGUGUUAGUUAUCCAACAGCAUUAGAGUUAUCCAACAGUGUUAGUUAUCCUACAGUGUUAGUUAUCCUACAGUGUUAGUUAUCCAACCGUGUUAGUUAUCCUACAGUGUUAGUUAUCCUACAGUGUUAGUUAUCCAACAGCAUUAGAGUUAUCCUACAGUGUUAGUUAUCCUACAGUGUUAGUUAUCCAACAGUGUUAGUUAUCCUACAGUGCUAGUUAUCCUACAGUGUUAGUUAUCCUACAGUGUUAGUUAUCCAACAGUGUUAGUUAUCCAACAGUGUUAGUUAUCCUACAGUGCUAGUUAUCCUACAGUGUUAGUUAUCCUACAGUGUUAGUUAUCCAACAGUGUUAGUUAUCCUACAGUGCUAGUUAUCCUACAGUGUUAGUUAUCCUACAGUGUUAGUUAUCCAACAGUGUUAGUUAUCCUACAGUGCUAGUUAUCCUACAGUGUUAGUUAUCCUACAGUUUUAGUUAUCCUACAGUGUUAGAGUUAUCCUGCAGUGUUAGUUAUCCUGCAGUGUUAGUUAUCCAACAGCGUUAGUUAUCCAACAGCGUUAGUUAUCCUACAGUGCUAGUUAUCCUACAGUGUUAGUUAUCCAACAGUGUUAGUUAUCCAACAGUGUUAGUUAUCCUUCAGUGUUAGUUAUCCUACAGUGUUAGUUAUCCUACAGUGUUAGUUAUCCUACAGUGUUAGUUAUCCUACAGUGUUAGUUAUCCAACAGCAUUAGAGUUAUCCAACAGUGUUAGUUAUCCAACAGUGUUAGUUAUCCAACAGUGUUAGUUAUCCAACAGUGUUAGUUAUCCUACAGUGUUAGUUAUCCUACAGUGUUAGUUAUCCAACAGUGUUAGUUAUCCUACAGUGCUAGUUAUCCUACAGUGUUAGUUAUCCUACAGUGUUAGUUAUCCUACAGUGUUAGUUAUCCAACAGUGAUAGUUAUCCAACAGUGUUAGUUAUCCUUCAGUGUUAGUUAUCCUACAGUGUUAGUUAUCCUACAGUGUUAGUUAUCCAACAGCAUUAGAGUUAUCCAACAGUGUUAGUUAUCCAACAGUGUUAGUUAUCCAACAGUGUUAGUUAUCCUACAGUGUUAGUUAUCCUACAGUGUUAGUUAUCCUACAGUGUUAGUUCCUGUUAAGGCAAGGGCUGAUUUCAAGGUUUUACUGCUAACCUAAAAAGCAUUACAUGGGCUUGCUCCUACCUAUCUUUCCGAUUUGGUCGUGCCGUACAUACCUACACGUACGCUACGGUCACAAGACGCAGGCCUCCUAAUUGUCCCUAGAAUUUCUAAGCAAACGGCUGGAGGUAGGGCUUUCUCCUAUAGAGCUCAAUUUUUAUGGAAUGGUCUGCCUACCAAUGUGAGAGACGCAGACUCAGUCUCAACUUUUAAGUCUUUACUGAAGACUUAUCUCUUCAGUAGGUCCUAUGAUUAAGUAUAGUCUUGCCCAGGAGUGUGAAGGUGAACGGAAAGGCUGGAGCAACGAACUGCCCUUGCUGUCUCUGCCUUGCCGGUUCCCCUCUUUCCACUGGGAAUCUCUCUCUGCCUCUGACCCUUUUACAGGGGCUGAGUCACUGGCUUACUGGUGUUCUUCCAUGCCGUCCAUGGGAGGGGUGCGUCACUUGAGUGGGUUGAGUCACUGACGUGGUCUUCCUGUCUGGGUUGGCGCCCCCCCUUGGGUUGUGCCAUGACGGAGAUCGUUGUGGGCUAUACUCGGCCUUGUCUUAGGACGGUAAGUUGGUGGUUGGAGACAUCCCUCUAGUGGUGUGGGGGCCGUGCUUUGGCAAAGUGGGUUGGGCUAUAUCCUGCCUGUUUGGUCCUGUCCGGGGGGUAUCAUCGGAUGGGGCCACAGUGUCUUCUGAUCCCUCCUGUCUCAGCCUCCAGUAUUUAUGCUGCAGUAGUUUAUGUGUCAGGG
Molecule: long non-coding RNA, 1985 nt
Filed under: Salmo salar (Atlantic salmon)
Lineage: Eukaryota; Metazoa; Chordata; Actinopteri; Salmoniformes; Salmonidae
Description: lncRNA (ENSSSAG00000087181.1, ENSSSAG00000121324.1)
Source: RNAcentral